GAUGAACGCUGGCGGCGUGCCUAAUACAUGCAAGUCGAGCGAACGGACGAGAAGCUUGCUUCUCUGAUGUUAGCGGCGGACGGGUGAGUAACACGUGGAUAACCUACCUAUAAGACUGGGAUAACUUCGGGAAACCGGAGCUAAUACCGGAUAAUAUUUUGAACCGCAUGGUUCAAAAGUGAAAGACGGUCUUGCUGUCACUUAUAGAUGGAUCCGCGCUGCAUUAGCUAGUUGGUAAGGUAACGGCUUACCAAGGCAACGAUGCAUAGCCGACCUGAGAGGGUGAUCGGCCACACUGGAACUGAGACACGGUCCAGACUCCUACGGGAGGCAGCAGUAGGGAAUCUUCCGCAAUGGGCGAAGGCCUGACGGAGCAACGCCGCGUGAGUGAUGAAGGUCUUCGGAUCGUAAAACUCUGUUAUUAGGGAAGAACAUAUGUGUAAGUAACUGUGCACAUCUUGACGGUACCUAAUCAGAAAGCCACGGCUAACUACGUGCCAGCAGCCGCGGUAAUACGUAGGUGGCAAGCGUUAUCCGGAAUUAUUGGGCGUAAAGCGCGCGUAGGCGGUUUUUUAAGUCUGAUGUGAAAGCCCACGGCUCAAUCGUGGAGGGUCAUUGGAAACUGGAAAACUUGAGUGCAGAAGAGGAAAGUGGAAUUCCAUGUGUAGCGGUGAAAUGCGCAGAGAUAUGGAGGAACACCAGUGGCGAAGGCGACUUUCUGGUCUGUAACUGACGCUGAUGUGCGAAAGCGUGGGGAUCAAACAGGAUUAGAUACCCUGGUAGUCCACGCCGUAAACGAUGAGUGCUAAGUGUUAGGGGGUUUCCGCCCCUUAGUGCUGCAGCUAACGCAUUAAGCACUCCGCCUGGGGAGUACGACCGCAAGGUUGAAACUCAAAGGAAUUGACGGGGACCCGCACAAGCGGUGGAGCAUGUGGUUUAAUUCGAAGCAACGCGAAGAACCUUACCAAAUCUUGACAUCCUUUGACAACUCUAGAGAUAGAGCUUUCCCCUUCGGGGGACAAAGUGACAGGUGGUGCAUGGUUGUCGUCAGCUCGUGUCGUGAGAUGUUGGGUUAAGUCCCGCAACGAGCGCAACCCUUAAGCUUAGUUGCCAUCAUUAAGUUGGGCACUCUAAGUUGACUGCCGGUGACAAACCGGAGGAAGGUGGGGAUGACGUCAAAUCAUCAUGCCCCUUAUGAUUUGGGCUACACACGUGCUACAAUGGACAAUACAAAGGGCAGCGAAACCGCGAGGUCAAGCAAAUCCCAUAAAGUUGUUCUCAGUUCGGAUUGUAGUCUGCAACUCGACUACAUGAAGCUGGAAUCGCUAGUAAUCGUAGAUCAGCAUGCUACGGUGAAUACCGUUCCCCGGUCU
RNAcentral lists this ribosomal RNA (1373 nucleotides) under uncultured bacterium. RNAcentral's name for it is "bacterial SSU rRNA". It matches the Rfam family "Bacterial small subunit ribosomal RNA", at positions 28 to 1381 of the family's 1533-position model. The record is from RNAcentral.